UACGGGGGGGGCAAGCGUUGUUCGGAAUUACUGGGCGUAAAGGGUUCGUAGGUGGCCAACUCAGUCAGACGUGAAAUCCCUCAGCUCAACUGGGGAACUGCGUCUGAUACUAGAUGGCUUGAGUGCAGGAGAGGAACGCGGAAUUCCAGGUGUAGCGGUGAAAUGCGUAGAUAUCUGGAGGAACACCGGUGGCGAAGGCGGCAUCCUGGACCAACACUGACGCUGAUGAGCGAAAGCCAGGGGAGCAAACGGG
RNAcentral lists this ribosomal RNA (253 nucleotides) under uncultured bacterium. RNAcentral's name for it is "partial 16S ribosomal RNA". It matches the Rfam family "Bacterial small subunit ribosomal RNA", at positions 524 to 776 of the family's 1533-position model. The record is from RNAcentral.